Molecule: small RNA, 619 nt
Filed under: Pongo abelii (Sumatran orangutan)
Lineage: Eukaryota; Metazoa; Chordata; Mammalia; Primates; Hominidae
Description: processed transcript
Source: RNAcentral
GUCGCUUGGAGAUCCACUUUACUAUGGUAAAAUACAGCCAUGUAAAGCAGAUGAAGAAAGUGACAGCCAGAUGUCUCCAUCACACUCGUCCACAGAUGAUCAUUCAAACUGGUUCAUUAUUGGAUCAAAGACCGAUGCUGAGAGGGUAGUCAAUCAGUACCAAGAAUUAGUCCAGAAUGAAGCCAAAUGUCCGGUCAAGAUGUCACACAGCUCCAGUGGCUCAGCCAGUCUGAGUCAGGUUUCUCCAGGGAAAGAAACAGAACAAACUGAAACCGUGUCAGUUCAGUCUUCAGUAUUGGGGAAGGGUGUAAAACAUCGACCCCCACCAAUCAAACUUCCCUCAAGCUCAGGAAAUAGUUCCUCAGGUAACUAUUUUACACCACAACAGACAAGCAGCUUUCUCAAAUCUCCAACUCCUCCUCCUUCUUCUAAGCCACCAACUAUUCCUCGGAAAUCAUCUGUGGAUCUCAAUCAAGUUAGCAUGCUUUCUCCAGCUGCCCUAUCACCUGCCAGCUCAUCACAAAGAUCUGGAACUCCUAAGCCAUCUACUCCUACACCAACCCCUUCAUCGACCCCACACCCUCCUGAUGCUCAGAGCUCAACUCCUAGUACCCCUUCA